Bombus huntii is the source of this 7542-nucleotide long non-coding RNA. RefSeq lists it as uncharacterized. NCBI's taxonomy places the organism in Eukaryota, Metazoa, Arthropoda, Insecta, Hymenoptera, Apidae. The transcript has 2 exons. The record is from RefSeq and is a predicted model, not a curated record.
AGUAAGGUAUGCUACAACGAAUACGAAGAAAUAUCGGCUACUCCCCCCAUUUUUUCAUUCCGCUUUCGCUACGAUGAUUGAGAACUGCCACCAACCGGUAAUCUUUUGAAUCUCUCUUUUCCUUCCUUCUUUAGUAAUAUUUAUUUUCAAACAAAAGAGCAACUUUGUGAAAGAGUAUUUGUUACCGAAUAAAGAAGUUGACAAAGAAUAUUUGUCAGCAAACAAAGGAUAAAGGGCUUCUAAAGAUAUAAAUGAAUAAAAGCAUAAAUGCACAAUGUGGCAUGAGCAUAAGAAGAAACUAUGACUUGGUAUGUAUAAUUUUCUAUAUAACGAAUCGCGCAGCAUAUCUGUGCGUAACAGUAGUUAUUAUUAUUAUUACAUGCCAUAUCAACAAGGAUUAUCCCGCUUCUUCAGCAAUCGGACGACACAUCGAUAUCGGCACAUGUUUGUUAGUUAAAUAUACAUAUAGAGUGUUUCAGAAUAGGUGAUACAACCAGGCAGGAGCUUAUUCUACGUAAGUCGAAACCCUUAUGCAAUCGCUUGUGACAACACGUGUUAAGUUCACGAUGAUGUCGAAAGAAGACAAAGCGUUUUUUUUUUCUUUUUUCUAUUUUCUUAGAGAAGUUAUUCGCAGAACUUAAGGAUCGUAUAUACACUUUCCAGAGCAUUUUGGUUCGGUUGAGAUAAGGCUGAGAUGAAAUAAAUAUUUGGUCGAAGCCGCGAGAGCUACUAAGGCAUUCUCAAGGUCAUCUUUCCACUCUUAGUAGAAGUCAAUCCCCAGGGAAUCUUUUGCGAAGUUCAAACACCUACGGUGUCAGUUUUCGCAACAGGAUAAAUUUUGGUUGUACAGCACGUACUUCGAGUCUGAUAAGAUAUAUUACUCUGUUAAUGAUAUAGUCGGAUAAUUCCUUGAUAAGAAUCGAAAGACUACGGUACAAAGUUUAUAAAAGUUUUCGAAAGCAAUAAAAAAAUAUUAUCGAUGAUUAAUUUAAGAAUUCGAGUCUCGCGGAAGUAUUGAUAUUUAAAAAUAUUCGAUUUUAUUUUCGAAUCACCGAAAAUAGACAUUUUAUGACAAAGUAUCAUUAUCUAAUAGAUCGUGCAAUAUGUGAGAAGGAAACACCGAAAUUAAUUGGAUAUGCUAAUAUGCAAUUUAUAGUAAACUUAGAAGUAGAAAAUAUAUGCAAAUAGAAACAGCAGGCAAAUUAUAAAAACGAACGAGGAAGUAUGCAAAACAAUUUCGCUAGUUUGUACAAAGUGAAGUGAAAAUUAAAGCAAUUUGCAUAGAAACAGCAUACCAUCGUUUAGGAAAAUGUGAUAGUAAUUGCUAUGCAGUAAUAAGGUUAAGAAUAACACUAGCUUGAAAACAUAGUAAAAACCAACAUUGUAUCAAAGAAAUAUUAUUACUUUCUUAUUUAUAUUCAUAACUCAUUUAUUAUACGAGCUCGUAAUAAUAAAUGAUGUUUUAUUGCCUUCUAUAUUUAUCACCUAUAAAAAGAGCGUGGAGUUAAUAACCUAAACACUUGGCUUGUUUAUUUAUGCAUACUGCCACAGAUUAUAUAAUCAUCAACUUAUUAAUGAUUGGUCAAAUAUACUGUCAAUUACUUAAUUGGUGAAAUAUUUGUUUUAUAAUUCAUUUGUAUGUAGAUUUCCGUGUAUGUAAUUUUUAUUACAUACAAUCUAUACAAUUACACUGCAAAUAUUAAGUUUGCAGCAAUAACCAUGUACAAUAUAUUUUAUUAUAUAUGUAUUAUUAUUAAUCAAUUUCAGUGGUUUAGAAUUGGUUCCAAUGUUAAAGUUUAAUAUUUGUUAUGUCAAUCAAUUAUCUAUGUCUCUAAUUCUGAUCUAAGUAGUCCAAUUUAUAAAUCCUCUUAUUAUAUGAUAUUUCGCAUUUUAGAAAAUUAUAUGAAUUUAAUAAAUUUAUGUGAUAAAUUUAUCAUAGUAAAAUUCAAAUAUCCAGAACUAUUUCCUUUUUCAUGUUAUCUAUACAUCAUACAAAUAAAAUAAUAUAAAAUAUAAAAUUUGCACUCCCUGUGAAAACAAGUCGGAAACAUAGAAUAUGAUUUAUUCGUAGAAUCGUCCACUCCUGAAAAAAUGGCGUUUGAAAAUUUGUCAAGUACGCGUUUUAUCACGCAAAUUCUAAAACAAUUAUGCGAAAAUUUAAAAUACGCAAAUAGAGAAGUACGUUGUAUGAGCUAUGACUCUUGAAAGUCCAAGAAGCGAGUGAAUAUGCAUACAUAUAUAUUAAUGCACAUUAUUAGAUAUUACUUUAUUUACAUAUUCAAGUAUUCCUUUUCAACGUCAAAUAAUCACUCGAAUGAAGUAUAGUUUCCAGUUAAAUGAAAUAAAUCAACUGCUUAUGUAUAAGUAUCGUAGAAAAUAAAAAUUCCAAUAACAAAUUACAUUACGUUUGAUACAUCACUUUUUAGAAGUCAAGCUGAUUAACUAUUUGUUUGGUUAUGGGAGGAUCUAUAGUAAAUAAUUCACUUCUAAAAUUUGAAUUUGUCUCUUCUCUUUGUUCCUCGAAAAAUUCGAUAAGACAAAUCCUUCACAAUUCGAAGAUUGUAGCUCUUCCCUUGAGAUUAGAGUUCGAUAUACGUACGUAUGAUAUAUUCGAUUUAUAUAUACGCACAUAUGAUAUAAUUCUUAUAACGAAUUAUGUCAUACUUAUAUAUAUUUGGAAAAAUUACAAUCGGUACUUAAAAUUGGUUUGCAUUCAUUAUCUUUUAAUUUCACGAUUGUAAAAGUUUUUAAUUAAAGAACAGUUCGAUUAUUAGGUUAAAGAUCAAUAUUAUACGUGGUACUCAUUUCAUAUGUAAAAUAAUCCAUAAUGACAUGUAUUAAGCAUACCGCUGUACAGUGACCUCUAUUGAAUUGUAAUGUUAUAUUUAUUUAGGAGUAGUGUUAUUAAAUUUGUUAUUUGUCGUUUUUUGUAAUGUAUUAACAUUUCCUUAAUAUUUGAAAAGCAUUUGUACCACUCUGGACGAGUAGUGACGUUACACAGUGUCUAUAUAGAUUUCUGUCUCUAUCGUUCCAUGUAUUCUAGUAUAACUUAUUAUCAGUGUUAUAAAGCUUCUUAUAAUUAUUUCAAAAUUUUGCGGAACGCAAACGAAAUAAGAUAAUUUUUUAUAAAAAACCUGUCGUACAAUUAAAUUAUGAAGAAAUUCUGUACGUAUUUUUAAGCUACAAUAAAUAGUAUUUAUAAUGAUUUAGAAGUAUUGAAAUACUUAUAAUCGACAGUGCAUGUCAAAGCGCGGGCACACUAGUCUUCGAAAGUUCAACUAAAAGUCGCCAGAUGUCUCGUAGGAGGCGCCAAACUUAGCGUCUACGAAAUCUUUUCUAUUUUCUUUAUUAUUAUCAUAUGGCUUGGAUGACUAUUCUUCUACAUUUACCAGCGCGAAAAUAUUGCAUCAGAGUAUUGGUAUUAUCUGCACUAAUGCGAUUUUCAAACAAUACGAAGUUAACUUAGUACCCAGAAUUCUUGCUUCUUUUGCUUUCUAUAAUAACGAAUAAUGGCGGGAAUAAUCGUUGCAAACUCACUUCCCAAGAAAUUUAAGGGAAAUUAGCUUUCAACUAGAUUAGAAAUUAGAAUAUCUGCUUCUUUUGCUUUCUUCAAUAAUACAUAACGAUUAAAAGCUAAUAAUGUGUUCAUAGGAUGCAUCAUCAUAAAUUAUGUACACAUCAUGUAUUAAAAAAUGUAUUGAAAUACAUAUUUCUUUGUAAAAAUAAUACGUGUAAGAAUAUAUUGCAGAUAUAGUACGUAUUAAUGAAUUCUUAUAAUACAGCUGUAUUAUUUCUUUAAUUAUUGAAAAUGCGGAAAAAUGUUUUAUAUAUAAUGGUAAUAUUGACAAAUAUAUCUUGCAUUUUGUUAUAAAUUCACUGUUUCUUUUUCAAUAUGCCACAGUUUAUACAAUUUUAAAAAUGCUUAAUUUUUGCCUAUUAAAAAUAAGCUUUAACUUUUAAAUUAAAAGAAUUUUAUACAUUCUAUACAUCAACACAACAUACAUAAAGUAUAUUUUUUGUAGUACGCUGUAAGUUAUUUGUGUAGCGUGUUAUAAUACUCUCAGGAAUGACAAAUAAAACGUUCAGAAAUCGAGCGGAAUUAUUUACGAAACGUGGGGCUUAGAAUGACUGGCGUCCGGUGUAUCAUAUUCGAUACAGAUAUUAUGUUAUUAAAGUGGUAACUUGUUAAUGUUUGCUUUUUCUUAUGAGUAGCUUUUUUUUAGCUUAGUUAAAGUAGCUAACAAGCAAAUGAAAUAACUAAAGUUUCGUAAUUAUAUAAAUUAUAUGAAAAUAAAUCAUAUGCAAUUUUUCAUUUAUUUACGUAUACGUAUAUAUUACGUAUAUAUACAAUGUAGGUUCUGAACAGCAAAUUGACAGUACGUGGGAGAUUUUAAACAAAUUUAUGAGUCUAAUAUCUAGCAGGUUUUCCCCUCGGUGAAUAUACUCUAGUCUCAUCAUACCAAGGGGGAAAUCAUUAAUUUACACCGAUAGGUAAUAUCAAAUAAUAUUUUUUUAGAACUCAUUUUCGAAGUGGAAGAAUUUGAUACUCUAUGAAAAUAAAAUGGCAAAUCUGAUAAAAAAAAAAAAAAACACUUCAUUGGAAAAUAAGAAUAUGUAUUGUAUAUAUCUUUCAGAGUAUAGGUAGUAAUUUGCACAUGCAGAAACUCGUUAGAAUUUGAUUUUCUAAGUUUACAGUUAUCUAAGAGCGACAGUAUAUUAAAUCUUUAACUUUUUUUUGAUGUCAAUCGCAACUCUGCAGGAUGAAAAUUUUAUUUUUCAAAGGAAGAUUCUAUAUAAGGUUGUAUAUGCUAAAACUGUCAAGGUUAUCUAUCUUAUUAUUUGAAACCAGCUAUUUUUUUAAUUUUUAAUAAUCAAAUGCUAUAAUAUUCAAAUUUAAUAUUCAAAUGGCCGAAAACUAACCAACUUAAGUCUUACUAUAGCGCCGAUAAAAUUUCAAGCGAUAAAUAAUUCUAUCGCUGUCGGUGACAUCUUUAAUUAUAAACUGUACAUAAAUAAAUAAAUAAAUAUAUAUAUAUAUAUAUAUAAUAUAAAUAUUGAAAAUAUAUAUAAUAAUCGUCGAUAUAAACGUUGAAAAAUUAUAAUACAAAUUCACAAACGACGAACGACAACUCUGUAUUGUUAAAGACUAUGUGCUUAAAGGCUCGUUUACAAUUAUUAUCUUAAUUUAUUCCGUGGUAUACCUCACAUAAUAUUUCACACCACGACCCACUUUUCCUAAUCACUCUCUGCCUCCUUUCUCUUUUUUCACUGCGCUAACAGCCUUUAAACAUCCAGACACACUUUUCUCGCAUUUUCCAUUCAAAAUUUUAUCCACCUCUAGAGAAAAUAUUCAUUUUGAACGAUAACCUACAUCGUGACACGUAGUUCAUUUUCAUUUUCUUACGCAGCUCACUUAUCAAUACGAUUAUUGCUAUUCCUAUAAUUAUUACGUUUCUAUAAAUAAUUGAAUUCUUGCUUCUUUCGUGCGUCGUUCUAAAUGUAUAUUAUCUUGAAAUCUGAAACUCGAUAUCGAUACAUCGGGAGUUAUUUUUAGGACUAUGAUUUUACCGAAGAAUAUUUUAAGUGAAAGUUGAACGGUUCCGGCGGGACAUAAUUUAACGUAUUAUGGGUGUCUUUUUUGUCGGAGGAUGCGUGGAACUCGUACAAAGGUCAAGUUCGUUUCUGUAAACGGUGCUAUAUUUCUCUUUACAUAUUUAUGUGUACAUAUUAUAUUUAUCGAUUCUUCGGAACAUUCUACGUGAAAGAGAAAUUAAGGCGGAAUAUUUCAAAAAUUAACAAUUCAUAAGAUUUCGUAAUAUGUUUUAACGUAGAACGCAUCGAAGAAUCUAUAUGUGCAAGAAAGAAAACGCAAUAACAACUUAAAAACUUGACAUAUACGCGUGUCCUCUGUGCAUCCUCCUACGGAAAAAUUAAUCGCGUCAAAUUACGUUCCCCUCGAAACCAUCCAACUUUUAUUUGAAACAUUUCUCGACCAGUAAUCGAAGUGGUUUCAAUUACGCGUCAAUUACACGCGUUCCAAUUAGGUUUAUCUAUCGGCAUAUGAAAAAAAGUGAAAGUAACAAAAUUUCUGAACUGAAUCUCAUCAAUCUCAAUGCGAACGUUGAACAUUUAUGUAAAUGUGUUUGAUAAAUCGAAAUAUAUUCUAAUAAAAUGAAGUUAAGGAAAAUGAGUUGCUUAUCAUAUAGAAUAAUUUAUCGCAAAAUAUGUUAAAUCUGUUAUUAAUAAGAUAGAUAAUAUAUAUGUAUCUACAUUAAUGUCACACUUAAUGGAAUUUACGAUAGCUUCGAGCUGAUAGUAAAAAUACUACUAUUAUCGUAAAGAUAGUAUUUUCCAAAGGACGAAUUUCACUGAAAGAAGGCCUCAUUUCCAAAAGAAUUCGUUUUGAAAAUUGGAAACAAUUUGAUGAUCAUCAAUUGCCCUUGAGUAACGCUUGUUUCACUAUCUAUCGUUAGGAAUAACGUUUCCAAAUUGACGCUAAUGUGGAAAUAGAAAAUGUCUGCCGGAGACAAUUGAAAGUACGACGGGAGUCAAAUGCGCUAAACCGACCAAUAAAAUUCGUUUUCUCCUUCUCUUUCCUCGUUGCAAGUUAACGCAAUGAAAUUGUAUAUUGCUGGAAAGUUAAAAUACCGAUAUGCUUUACAGUUGCGAGUAACGACUCAACUAUAACUUCUUUUCGAUGACUAUAAAUUAUUCUUGGGAGGCUUAUCGCAAUUACAAAGAUAGAUACGCACAUUAAUUGGAAACGCCACAAUGCGAUAGCGGCCCAAGUCUCCUCGUACGAAAAUUGUCUCUUUUUCUUAACCCAUUGUAUGUAAUAGCCAGCGUUGUUAUAACUGGUAAAGGAACGAAAGAAGGAUAGAGAUAUAAACCACGGUGUUGAUAUCCGACAUGCAUGAGUUACAGGACACACAUAUAAAAAUUGAUAUACAUUCGUAUGACGUUGAAGUUCACGUAAGGUGACAUCAAAAAUAUUAUUCUUAAAAAUAUAUGAUAUUUCAUUCUGACAUGUUUUCUCCUCCAGGUUUAGAUCUUUAGAGUUUUGGCAGCUGAAGUUACAAAAAAAUUGUUUACCUGUUACAUAACUUGUAGCUAUAAACAAUUCUGGAUUUCGAUUAAAUUAAUUUAAUCUAUUUGCAUCCAAUAUGCUAAGUAUGCUAAAUAUUCAUCAGAUGUGGAAGAUCACGUUUGACCGGUUUAUCAGUUUAUUGUAUCCACCAUUUUAAAGAAUUCCACGAGAAAUGAUAUGAUUUAAUUUCUUAUUUCUAUUCUUUUUUAAAUAAAUAUUUUUUUCUUUUUUCCUCUGUUAUAAUCCACCAAUCGUUCUGAACAGUAAAUUUUCGAUAAACUCCACGAAGAAUUUGGAUGUCAUUUACUGCACCUAUUAUACUUAUCUAUAAUAAGUACUAACUUAUUAUAAAUAAUUAGCCAUGUUACCGCGCCACGCCGGAAAAAUUACUGAAAAUUCUCAACGCGAGAAUUGAUUGUAAUUUUAAUAAAUAUUUAAAAAAAAAAAAAAAAUUA